RNAcentral lists this long non-coding RNA (284 nucleotides) under Homo sapiens (human). Its description in RNAcentral is "non-protein coding lnc-AMZ2-9:1". Lineage: Eukaryota; Metazoa; Chordata; Mammalia; Primates; Hominidae. The record is from RNAcentral.
CAAAAAUGAAAUCGAUCAAGGCUGUAGUUGCACACCUGAGACAUUCCUCGAGAAGGCAGAGGAGAAAGGUGUGAAAAACAGUGAACCAGAGAAGGAUGGCCAGGGACAACAAAGAUUGGAGCUCGGAAGUUGAAUGACAGAUAUUCUGGAGAAACACACCAGAGAUGACAAAAGGGUUUGUCAAACACAGCCCAACUCAACUGGAGUCCUGAGAAGGUGACCAGACCAGGAUGGAGGCCCAGGGAACUCACCAGAAGUCCCCAUGCAUCAGAACAAGGUCGAAG